This 254-nucleotide long non-coding RNA is filed under the name Oryza brachyantha (malo sina). RNAcentral's name for it is "long non-coding RNA (OBRA_LNC001715)". The record is from RNAcentral. Lineage: Eukaryota; Viridiplantae; Streptophyta; Magnoliopsida; Poales; Poaceae.
CCGUUGGAUGAAAACAGAGGGCUCGGUUUGGUUGCUACAAUGUUUAUCACAUUUCAUGAUUCCCCUCAUAUAAACAGUACACGUUUACAGCAAUGUAGACGAUCCAGAUCCCAGCGAAGCAGAAUUAGCAAUGGCAAUGAAGGAAGCUGCAUGCGUACGCGGUGCAAGGGAAGAGGCAAACACAUGAUGAAGGUAGAAGAACUACCAUUGCGUGUAUAUGUGCGCAUCGUGUUCCUCAUGCCUUCCAGGCCCAG